UACAGAGGGGGCAAGCGUUGUUCGGAAUUACUGGGCGUAAAGGGCGCGUAGGCGGCCUGCUAAGUCGAACGUGAAAUCCCUGGGCUCAACCCAGGAACUGCGUCCGAUACUGGUUGGCUUGAAUCCGGGAGAGGGAUGUGGAGUUCCAGGUGUAGCGGUGAAAUGCGUAGAUAUCUGGAGGAACACCGGUGGCGAAGGCGACAUCCUGGACCGGUAUUGACGCUGAGGCGCGAAAGCCAGGGGAGCAAACGGG
RNAcentral lists this ribosomal RNA (253 nucleotides) under uncultured bacterium. RNAcentral describes it as "partial 16S ribosomal RNA". It matches the Rfam family "Bacterial small subunit ribosomal RNA", at positions 524 to 776 of the family's 1533-position model. The record is from RNAcentral.